UGGGAGCAGUGGAAAAGCGUAUGGAAGAGUCCACCCUCCCUCAGAAGCUCCUGCUCUACACCGCACCUCCCUGCUGCUUCCAUGCACACCACCAUGCCACCUGUCUGCCCCCCAGCCCCCCAGCCUCACAGCCACUGCCGCCCGCCGCCCUCCGAGGCUUCUGCCUUUUCUGACCAACUUCAGGAUCCACCUGGCUCGGUCUCAGGAACCUCAGUCCCCAGUGUUCAAAGAGCGCUCAGGGCUCAGGGAGAUGCAUCAACAUUCAUAAAGGGCUUAGAACUGUG
This is a long non-coding RNA of Chinchilla lanigera (long-tailed chinchilla), 284 nucleotides long. RefSeq lists it as uncharacterized. The transcript is spliced from 2 exons. NCBI's taxonomy places the organism in Eukaryota, Metazoa, Chordata, Mammalia, Rodentia, Chinchillidae. The record is from RefSeq and is a predicted model, not a curated record.